GGGGUUAAUAAAGGUGCUCGCAAUAAGAGUUAGAAUAUAGAUAAUACAGAGAAAUAUGAUUAGUGUUUGACACCUACAAAGCACAAACCAACUUCAGCUUGCGCCUGCAACUCUUCUAAGAGUUUAACAAUGUUCUCACGGGGCAUCGAGGCAUCAGUCUGCUCUGACAAGAUCUUCCUCACUCUUUGAACUAUUGCAGUGUUUCCAUGACCAGUGCAAAUAAUAAGCAUAGCAUUUAGAGGAAGAUUGGAGUAAAUGCUCUUGACUCUGCGAUUCAUGCGACCUAAUAUAUCCUUCAGUUCAGGAGUGAUGUCAAA
Molecule: unclassified non-coding RNA, 317 nt
Filed under: Hevea brasiliensis (rubber tree)
Lineage: Eukaryota; Viridiplantae; Streptophyta; Magnoliopsida; Malpighiales; Euphorbiaceae
Source: RNAcentral